UGCUGAGAAGAAACACUAUGGCCAAAGCAACUAGGAAAGGAAAAGUUUUAUUUGCCAUAUCCUUCCAAAUAACAGUCCAUCAGUGAAGGAAGGAAGUGAGGACAGUAAUUCAAACAGGGCAGGAAGCUCCAGGCAAGAGACGAUGCAGAGGCCACGGAAGAGUGCUUCUUACUGACUUGUUCGACAUGGCUUUCUCAGCCUUACUUCUUUUUGAACCAUCAGCCCAGGACUCUAGCUUGGGGCAAGCUGACAUAAAACUAACCAGUACAAUAACUGUGCAGGAAAACAUGAAUAUAGCAAUUAUAACAACAAGAACAAGAGCAACAAGAACAAG
This is a long non-coding RNA of Mastomys coucha (southern multimammate mouse), 334 nucleotides long. RefSeq lists it as uncharacterized. The record is from RefSeq and is a predicted model, not a curated record. Lineage: Eukaryota; Metazoa; Chordata; Mammalia; Rodentia; Muridae. The transcript has 3 exons.